AACAAACGCUGGCGGCAUGCCUAACACAUGCAAGUCGAACGAGACCUUCGGGUCUAGUUGCGCACGGGUGCGUAACGCGUGGGAACCUGCCCUUAGGUUCGGAAUAACUCCCCGAAAGGGGUGCUAAUACCGGAUAAUGUCUUCGGACCAAAGAUUUAUCGCCUUUGGAUGGGCCCGCGUUGGAUUAGCUAGUUGGUAGGGUAAAAGCCUACCAAGGCGACGAUCCAUAGCUGGUCUGAGAGGAUGAUCAGCCACACUGGGACUGAGACACGGCCCAGACUCGUACGGGAGGCAGCAGUGGGGAAUAUUGGCCAAUGGGCGAAAGCCUGAUCCAGCAAUGCCGCGUGAGUGAUGAAGGCCUUAGGGUUGUAAAGCUCUUUUACCCGGGAUGAUAAUGACAGUACCGGGAGAAUACGCUCCGGCUAACUCCGUG
RNAcentral lists this ribosomal RNA (433 nucleotides) under uncultured bacterium. Its description in RNAcentral is "partial 16S ribosomal RNA". It matches the Rfam family "Bacterial small subunit ribosomal RNA", at positions 29 to 507 of the family's 1533-position model. The record is from RNAcentral.